UUAACUUAAUAAAAUUAUCCACUACAUAAUCAUUCAUUAUCUUUACAAUUAAUCAUCUAAAGCUACCACAUCUUUUCAAUCAAAGUAUAUAUCUACAUAUAUAGAGAGUACACUUCAUAAUUCUGUCCCUUCUCUUCCGUAAACGUAGCACAGAAAUUUGAUACCCAGUAUUGCAAGGCAUGUUGUAGAAGCAGUCUUCCUGUAUAUUUAAAAAUAAUAGCAAGUUAGGAAAAUGAAGCAAAUAGGUCACCAGAGACACUUAGUGUCAAAAUCAAUACACAAAGACAAUAGAGUUGCUACAUGGUACUAAUGUACACCGUAUUGCAAAAAUCAAUAUAAAAAGACAAUAGAGUUGCUAAGGGUUUGGUUUAACUAGCAAGACAUAGUUUGUCAAAACUAGCAUAUAUUACAGUUUAUAUGGUAGAAUAAACGGCCACAAUAUGAUCAAAUGCUCUGGAUUAUAUCAUACUAACCACAUCAUAUAAAAUCAAUUACAAAAAGAAUUUGGAAAUUGAAAAGUUAUAGAGAAAGCACCUGAUUGCAUUGUGCAUGGAGUUCAAAUCUUUAAAUUCAACGAAGCCAAAGCAAAAUCCCUGUUGCUGGACAUGUGAAUAUGAGUAAACAACAGCUGACCCAAGUGGAACACAAUGAUAUACAUUCUUAGUGUAUUAAAAACUACCUUAUUACUUCUAACUUAAACACCUCCUUUCACUAUCAAAUUCACCUCAUGCCUGAAGUUAUGACUAAAUCAAUAAACAAAAAGGAUAAUGAAUGUACUUUAGUCCAAAAAUAAAGGAAAAUGUAAAUGAAGGAUGUACAUUAUAUCUUUGACAAGGACUAUAGUUUCAGUGGCAGAACUCUAUAAAAAUUGAUGUAUACUAAAUCAUGGUUCCUUUAUUAAGCUCAACUAGAUCAACAUUUUCAAAAAAGGCUACUGUACGAAUGAAGAAGAAUUAAUAUCCAUUUUGCAGUUCAUUGCCUGUAUGAGUCUAUUUUUUGGUUUUAGGUCUAUUACAAGCAACAAAGUUAGUAGAAAAAAAAAAGUAAACAACAAAUGGAUCAUCAUUCCAAAUCCCAUCGCUUAAGUAGGUAUUUAUACACUUAAUAUAUCUUUGAUAAUUGUGAAUAUAUCAUUAAAUUAUCAAUAUUAUAUAUCACACAUUAAAAAACAUGAGAUACAGGAAAUGAGCU
RNAcentral lists this long non-coding RNA (1191 nucleotides) under Panax ginseng (ginseng). RNAcentral's name for it is "long non-coding RNA (PGIN_LNC007645)". The record is from RNAcentral. Lineage: Eukaryota; Viridiplantae; Streptophyta; Magnoliopsida; Apiales; Araliaceae.